Molecule: long non-coding RNA, 5409 nt
Organism: Acipenser ruthenus (sterlet)
Lineage: Eukaryota; Metazoa; Chordata; Actinopteri; Acipenseriformes; Acipenseridae
Exons: 11
Source: RefSeq, a predicted model, not a curated record
CUCCAAACACACAGCCUGGGAAAAUCUCUUACAAGAGCUGCAGUGUCCCCUUCACACUGGGAAACGGGUGCUUAAAAAGACACUUGCUGUAAAAACCAUUGCACAAUCUUCCUGACUCACCGUAACUAAUCCAUGGGGGGGAGCUUGAACGCCACAGCAGAAGCCUGAAGCAAGAACGACUGGUGUCAGGCCCUGGGCAGACAAUCAGUUGGAGAGGGAGCCUGGACCCCAUACUGAGGCACUGUAUCAGUCUUUCUGCACAGUGUAAUUUAAUUACGCCCCAGGAAAGACAGCUCAGCCCUCCCUGCAUUGUGCUUAGUUGCCAUGGAAACCUCAAGCAGGGGACUAGACCGUUCGAUAAAGAAAAAUACAGCAGCAGAACCCUGAACCCGAGCUUGCUGUCAGUUUGAUUCAGAAAAGGACACAUUAAAACAUCUGUCUGCAGUGUAAUCUUUGUGAGGGCAGGCUCAGCAUUAACAAAGGAGGGGGCGUGACCAAGCAGAGGUUCUCUACAAUAGAGCUUGCUGAUUGGCUGAGGGUUCCUGGCAAUUUCCUCCUCACUGGAGCCUGUGAAUGAAAACGUGGGUGACAGAAUCGUGUUGGGAAACCAUCCUGCAGAUACUGCUGUUUAUAGAGGAUUAACUUAUCCCACGUGAACAUACCGAUUGCAACGGAGAAGCAGAUGGGACGCGUAUGCAGUGAUACUGAACAGAUGCUGCGAGUGAAGCACGGUUCCCCUGUGCAUGUACUGCACACAUGGUGUGACCUUCACGGCCUACACAUUGAGAAAGCCUUGGGAAGACGUCACACAGGCCAGAGUUUAAUGAAGAACCUGCUAGCUGCAGACUCGGCCUAGUUCUUCACGCCAUCCAGACUCCAUUUUGCUGCAGUGCGCCACUCUCGACUGGGUUUGCACGCCUGAUUUGGCCUGACAUUACAAUAACAUUUCAAACAGAGAUCCAACUAUUAUGAAGUGAGUAUUGCUGUUAGAUAUGAGGAACAAGUGGAGCGUUCUAGUUAAACUGCUGCUCAGGACUGUGUGCAUGCUGCUGUCGACGGCUGCUCUCCUUGCCUUAUUGCUAGAACACAUACAGGAUACAUAAGUAACAUUUCAAACAGAGAUCCAACUAUUAUGAAGUGAGUAUUGCUGUUAGAUAUGAGGAACAAGUGGAGCGUUCUAGUUAAACUGCUGCUCAGGACUGUGUGCAUGCUGCUGUCGACGGCUGCUCUCCUUGCCUUAUUACUAGAACACAUACAGGAUACAUAAGUAAGUACGGUGGUUGCUAUGUAUCAAAACACACCAGCGUAUGAUAAAACUGAACCCAAAAAUAGACAAAUCUUGUUCUAGUAAAUCAGUCCGAGACAUUUUAACAGUUCACUGCGUGUACAGGUCUUUUAAUAUUGAAUAUGCUUAUGAUGUUCCAUAACUAGAAAGAAACAACUUCAGCAGACUCCGUAGUCGUUACAUUAGCGCCUAUUGGAGUAAAAAAAAAAGAAAAGUCUUUAUUAAUAGAUAUAUUGGGCUACAUUCACAAAAACAUUUAACACUUCAUUUUGGACUGGUACUGCUGUCUGAGAAACUCAGUGUCUUGGUUUCCUAUAGUCUUACCUCAAGUGUUUGAUGAUUCAGUUGAGGAGUGUUUUGUAGAAAUUCCUGAGGUUAGAAUUUAUUUUUAAACACCAGGCCCUCUUUAGGAUUAAGCAACUUGUCAACAAAUACAUGUGGUUACUGAAUUCUUGAGUUGCCCAAAUGAUAAAAUGUUGGGAAAACGCUCUCCACCAGAUUUAUGAUUGCUUGUUUAAAUAUGUAAGAGGCAAUGAUUACAGUUGGCAUUUGAAGAUACAGAGGGCUUUGUGUGUUGCAGAUCCAAUUUAUAGAUUUCAACAUCAAACAAAGAAAAACCUGGCAAGUGUUGAUAAUCCCUGUUUUUUCUUCUUCUGUGAAGCAUGCUGUUUUGCCACCAACAGUUUCAUAACUUCCCAGGCCAUCUUCACCUUUGACCCUUAGACCUUCCAUGCAACCCUGUACCACCAACUUAACCUACGUUUCCUCACACUGUGUCCCCUCCCCCAGUGUCCUGGUGAGAAAGUAAUGUUGUGUCUGUAUUCCCAGUCCACUGGCUGCCAGCGCUGUCUGACGGUGAGGGGGGUUGAUUGUGGAUUUGUGAUCAAUCAAUCAAUCUUUAAUUUAUAUAGCGCCUUUCAUAGUGGACAGCACAGCGCUAGCUCUGAGUAUAGGGUGUGGAAUACAGGGAGUAUUGCACUCCGCUUUCCGCCAUGGCAGUAUCGAAGCACAGGAUGGAGAUGUUAGUUUUCAGCAGUCUGUUUUGAUUUGAUGCACCUGAUGAACAUGUCCUCCAGCACUGAGCCACUUGGAAUACAGCAGUAAAUGAUAAAUGUGGUUUUCCUUACAUCUGCUAGGGACAGGGUUGCAGGGGGACAGGUUAAUGAUUACACCCUGGUGUGCCAGAUGUACUUGGAGGUUAUACAUGAUAUGGAGAGCUUUACUGAAGUGUACAGUAUAAGGUACAUAAGGACUAGAGCUGUUAGCUGCUCAUUUUUUCAAAAAUGGGUACGGUAGAAGCCAAGAUUAGUCACAGGGGGGGUUAUUGUUGUAGCCUGACUGUAUCCCAGUCUGCAGCUUAGACUGGCAAACUGCUGAUUGGUCUGUGCGGCUGAAAGUGAUGAGUGACAUUACCUAGGGCUUGACUCGCACAAUCCCUACAGUCAGUCCAAGAUUUCAGAACUUCCCUUGUGUUGGUCUAUUACUGAAGUGACCAGCUGCCAGGAGUUUGAGCAAUCAGACCCUUGGUAUAUGUGCUCCGAACUGAUCACACUAAUCACAAAUGAGGCGGACCUUAGGCUUACUAACAGGAGUUGUUCAUGCAGCAAACUCCUGGCUCCUGAUCAUUUCAAUAAUAUACUUAAUUGAUGGCGCUCUGAAACCGAAGGCUAGUGCUGGUUUCAAGCCAUGGUAACCCAGCCACUCCAUGCAGAUGGCAUUCCAUAGAGAUUCAGGUGCAUAGGGAGUCUCUUCUUCCUUAGGAGAAAUACAAGUGGAUGUGUGGACUGAAAAUGUCGGUGGCUGUCUGAGUAUGGCUAUUGUUACCCUUAUAAAAGCUUGCCACAGUAAAUUUGCACGGUACGUUUGCUUUUCCAAUUGUUAUGCUAUGCGUUUACAAUAAUUUACCAUUAUUUAUUUUAGUAUGCUUUACCAUACCUCUGUGGGCUUUACAGUGCUUACCAAAGCUUUACCAUGCUUUCACAAUGCUUUAUUACACUUUGCUGGGUUUUUACUAUGGUAAACAUUUCUGCGACUGUGAGACAUGUGUUAAACCCAAUCAACUGCAACGCACCUUAAAAUCUGCAUGCUUCCUGACCAUAAAAAAAUAUUUUAUCCUGCAAAGCAGACAGACAGUCUGUCUGUGUUUCUACCUCAAUUUGUUAACCCCCUCCACCUGCAACCUUAUUGGAAGGCCCCAGAUGAACGAAACACUGCCCCCGCUUGGCACGUCCAGGAAAUUACUAGACAGACUCAACGUGCAGCUGUCUGCAGUCCCCCCUCUGCAACUGCCUCAGCUGGAAAAAAAUGAGUGACGAUUUCCUUUUUUCUUCCUUUGUUUGCAGCAGGGUAGAGAAGAGAAGGGGGGGGGUGGAGCUUGGGGUGUGUCUGCUGCUGUAUUGUUUAAGCUCGCUGCAGUGCGUGAUUCAGGCGCAGAAGAAACGUUUAGCAUCCUCCUGCUGAAUACCUGAGCUGGCAUCAUGCAGAGUUAACCAGUCUUCUGACGGAGAGCUGCUUCUUACACAUACUAGCACAGUAUGUGGAGCCAUUGUGCCAAGAGACUAGAUUAAGAAACGCAGGUCUUUUUUUUCUUUCCAGUGCAGUGGAAUUCUGUGCUGCUAACCCCCUGCCCCCUCCCGUCGUACACAGCAGAGCGAGAUCUCAGGAGACGUAGCGAGGCUCGUGAUCAGAAUGCGGACAGUGUCUGGACCUCAGUCGCAGUGGCGUUGGGUGUGGAUGGGAGGGGGGUCGACACUGCUGCUUGCUGCCUCCCUACUGCUCCAGAAAGCAGCCGCUCUUCGCUUCUAAAAAGGCCUCCAUUACGACUCCUUGAUCAAGUCCUUUGUCUGGAGAAAGGUGGACAGAGGAAGAUCAGGGCUGUUCUUCUGCAGAGGGACAGUGGCUUCUCCAUUGAUGCUCGUUUUGUGUUUGAUAAAGUAUUUAGUAAGAUAAUGUUAUAGCAAUGUUAUAGCAAGUAAAAAAAAAAUAGAUUAAAAAUAUACUGCACUUACAUACUGUUGUUAAUACACAAGUUAUAUUCACUAGAUUUGUUUUCUAUUCACACAUAACCUUUAUGUAGUGUGCUGUCAAUUUCAUUGAAAAGGAAGAGAAUAUCGUGAAGUGAGGUACGCAGCCCAUUGUGAUGUCACCAUUUUGAAUUUGCAGUUGAAUGGAAAUUCCGAGAGGUGCCUCGGGUAGGAAUAUUUUGGACGUCAACCGUACGAAUACUGAGAAUGAAGCAAUGUAUGAAAAUAUGGAACAGUGUGAUGUCAUAAAUGGGGUUUCCUUGUGAAAAGUUCUCAGCCGUCUAUAAUUAUGCUGAAUCACAAGCGUGGGUGUCAUCUCAACUUAUCAGAUUCCUUGUUCGUCUAUUUUACCCUAUGGUAGGUGAUCGCUAAGCUAAAAUGGCUUUAGGAUCUUGAAAACAAGUUAAUAAGUGACACACACACACACACACACAAAACAUUAGUAGACUAGCGAUACAUCAACCUCAGCAUUAUUGACCUUAAUUUCCUUGCCUUUGGGAUGCUUAGCUAUUGCCCACUCAAUUAUCUAGCAAGAGAACACCAUGGCAUUUGGUGUUACUAUGGUUUUUUUACAGCUUGUGUCAUAACAGCAGUUAUAUAUUCUCCAGAGGACUUAUUUAUCAGAAUUCAUUCUAUUUAAAAACAGUCAAUAUUCAGGCUUUUUUUUUUUCAAGCAAGGAUAUCUUUGGAAGAUUCUCUGAAAUGUAAUUUCCAGGGAUCUUGUGUCCUCGUUUAGGGGAGUUGAAGGAUUUAAAAUAGGUAGAUUUUUCACGCUUUUUUACAGUGCAGACCUAUUCAGAGAGAUUUACUCGCGAGCAGUUGUUGCAAGAUUAGAACGAUUGUGCCUAACUGUAAAACACUGAAUAAGGGUACAUUUAGAAAUACUAAAAUAACCUUUGUAAAUGCAAUGACAAACAUUUCGACUGAAGUCUUUCUCAAUGAAGUUAAUAGUCUGUGUAGGGUGUCUUCUAUUGUUGUAAGAAAUGUCCUAACAUGUAGUUUAGGUUCUGGGCACUCAAACUGUGCCAAAUGAUUUCUGUUGUAACAAGAGACGACCUACACACAACGAUUAACCUGUUAAACAAAUCACAAAAGAUUGUA